Molecule: transfer RNA, 50 nt
Filed under: Koenigia davisiae
Lineage: Eukaryota; Viridiplantae; Streptophyta; Magnoliopsida; Caryophyllales; Polygonaceae
Description: partial tRNA-Leu
Source: RNAcentral
AAAUCCGUCGACUUUAUAAAUCGUGAGGGUUCAAGUUCCCUCUAUCCCCA